UACGUAGGGUGCGAGCGUUGUCCGGAAUUAUUGGGCGUAAAGAGCUCGUAGGCGGUUCAGUAAGUCGGGUGUGAAAACUCAGGGCUCAACCCUGAGCUGCCACCCGAUACUGCUGUGACUUGAGUCUGGUAGGAGACUGGAAUUCCCGGUGUAGCGGUGAAAUGUGUAGAGAUCGGGAGGAACACCGGUGGCGAAGGCGGGUCUCUGGGCAUUUCCUGACGCUGAGGCGCGAAAGCGUGGGGAGCAAACGGG
RNAcentral lists this ribosomal RNA (252 nucleotides) under uncultured bacterium. Its description in RNAcentral is "partial 16S ribosomal RNA". It matches the Rfam family "Bacterial small subunit ribosomal RNA", at positions 524 to 776 of the family's 1533-position model. The record is from RNAcentral.